This 3534-nucleotide long non-coding RNA is filed under the name Fragaria vesca (wild strawberry). RNAcentral describes it as "long non-coding RNA (FVES_LNC001894)". The record is from RNAcentral. Lineage: Eukaryota; Viridiplantae; Streptophyta; Magnoliopsida; Rosales; Rosaceae.
GCAUUUAUGUUCAUCGUGUCCCGGAAGUGUGGUUGCAGAAGUUUAUGUAUCGGGUGAAGCACACUCAACUGUCUAUUUGUUGCAAUUAUAAAUGGCUCUAUUACAGCAUGGGUGUUCAACCUGCAUAUAAAUUUAAAGCAUGUAAACUAAGAUGAAGCUGCUACCAUAUGCUCCAAUGCAGUGCUGUUUAGGCCCUUACCAGUGGCUGAUAAGUUGAUGAUAGCCCGAAUCAUUUACAGCAGCGUAAGCUUUGGCCAGCUGCCAAACUGAAGCCUCGAUACCAUCUUCUGCUGGAGUGAAAACUUUGCUGACAGCACCAUGAUGCUCCCCUUGUGGAUGUGGUAGGCUUAACUCGAUUGCCAAAGGCUUCAAUGUCCCAUCUUCUUGCAGCAAGAGGAAAGUUCUGGUGGCAUAGGUCUUUGUCGUUGUUGUGUUAAUUCGUCUCAGGUAUGUCAUUAAUGCAUCAUGAUGAUCUAAAAUGAAAAAUCUGUUGCUUUUGAUUGCCUGUAUAAAAGGGAGAAAUGAUUAUGCACAUGAAGUAAACAAAUAUAGGGGUUUUUUUUUUUUCUGAAAGGGGUCGGUUUUUAUUGGGUAAAGGUAGUUUUUUAGAGACAAGAAAAUACUUCUUCAACACUGAGGCCAUUCAUGUUCUUUUCUAUUUGUUCUUUUCGUAUUGAACUGUUUUGAUUCCCAUAUACUUUAGGGUCUAGCUUGCUGGUUGGAGGAAAUUCCUGCAAAUAGAAUUUCAGUGAAUGAUGAAAUAAUUCAAGCUUAUGACAAAAUUGUAUCUCGAUGAGAGUCAAACAAAAUACUUAAUAUAAGCUUAGUUACUUGGAGGCGGGUGAUAUUAACAGGGUUAACCCCGGCUAACAUUUCUCUUGCAAACUCUUCAUCUGUCCUCCAUGCACUUUUAUCCACUGCAAAAUUUUCAUCAAAAUUCAUUCUUUAGUUAAUAUUUUCCAGAUUAUAGGAUACAAACUUUGCAAAAUAGUAGGCUUAUACCUUUAAUCACAUCAGGCAUUGGGAACUUGAGAAAUCGCUCGCCAUCUGAGCGAAGUAGUUCUUUGAGAAGUUCCCAAGGGACACGAUCCCUUAAUUUUUUGAGCGUAGGCCCAUUUGGUAACUUGAUGCCUCCUUCAUAGAGAUCAAGCACAUCCUCAAAAGUGUCAAACUCAUUGAUAGUUUUAUCACACAAAGAUCUAAGCUCUGGGAGCAAUAUCUGAACCAGGGAUUUUAGGGCAUAUGCAAGAAAAUCUGAAAACUUCACGUGGCCAAACCGCUCAUCUCUUGGAACGUAAAUGUCUAGACUUAGAAGAAACAGCCUGCUUUCGGAGUUGUGGUCUGUAUUACAAGCAUAAAGAAAAUUGGUCAAAGUUUGUGCUUCUAAGCCAUCAAAAUUAUACAGUCUCUUCAUAUUCUAAAUACAUGCCAUAAGAGUUUCAGGGUAGUAAGGACAUGGGAAUUAAAAAAAACAAAAAACAAAAAAAAAACAAAACAAAAGAUAAUUUAUUGAGCUAAAAUCGUUUCCUAACCAGUUUUAGUAGGUUUUCGACCAGUUCUUCCUCUUCUUGGAUAGGGAUACUCUUGUGAUCCACCAAGAACAGGGCGUGCAUAUUCUGGACCCUUGUCUGGACUCCCCAAAUCAUUGUAGUAAGCAUAGUCAUAGACUCUAUCCCACUCCUUUAGUUCGCCUGAUCCAAUCCCACGGAGAUUAGUCAGCUCUUCUUCCCUGUAAGGGAGUAAUAGCUCAGGUGUUUGAGAUGGCAAGUAGGCCUAACACAGACAUGAAGGUUCUGUCAGUGGAGUCAUUUCUGCAUGUCAUUAUGCAUUUCAGUAAAUCUCAGAAAGACUGAAUUUUGAAUGUAUGAAUUUUGAGAACUAGCGAUUAUUUCCCACAACCAAACUAUGAAAUUUAAUCACCCAUUAAAAGUUGUAGUGUUAAAAACAAUAUAUAUCUUGUCUAAUUUCUAUUUGGAAUGAUAUGCACACACAGACAAACACAUACCUUAUGAACACAAUAUUAAAAGGAUUUUCUUCAGUGCUAAUCCAGCUGGAAAGUUAUUGAUUAUAAUUCUUCCAUAUUCAAAAGUGGAUUAAGGACAAUAGAAUGGUUUUUCCAUAUCAGAAAACUUAAGAUUCCAAUAAUUGAGGUUCAAGAGAACAAUCAUGAAAAAAUUAUUUAAUUCAUUAAGGGUAUAUCUGUCUUUUUGCUCUUAUAAUGAUCUAUUUUAGUUUAUUUAAUUCAUUAAAGGUAUAUUUAUCUUUCUGCUGUUUAAGUUGGCUCUUAGGAAUUUUAAAAUCUGAUUUUGUUAGUGGGAAUAAAAUUAUUAAAAUUAGGGCUAAUGAGCAUUGUCCCAAAAAAUUAUCAUCACAUGAGGAUAAGAUUCGAUGCCAAAACCAAUAGAUCAAGUUCUUGAAGACCUUUCUUUGGAUUUCAAAUCAGUCAAAGACUGCUUUAAAAUGUUAUUAUACUUCCAUGUUUCUAAAUUUAAUUAUAUUCAAAAAUAUUAAAGAAAUAAUAAUAAAAAAUAGACUUACAAGUGGAACAUAUUUCUCUCUAGUACAUGUUGACUUCAAAUGAAAAUUACCUUGUUGGAGAAAAAUAUACGAUUAUACUUGUAACGAUGUGCAGGGUAAACCCAGGAAUUGCAGACAAAAUGGACUCGACCGUGCCCAGGAACAUCAUCUAAUGUAAUUGUCUUGAGGUAAAAUUGGCUAUGGUGAUGGUUUGUGAUCAUCAGAGCCCCAGGAACUCCCAUUGACUCAUCCCAGUCAAUUGAAGCGGAGAAAGCAGUAUCUCCAGCAGUCAAUGAUGUAACGGUUGUAAUCCAUUUCUCCAAGUAAGCUAUCUUCCCAGGCUUUCCUCGCAACACCAACCUAUUUGCUGCACAUGAACACAAGAAAAUGUCAGAUUCAGCUUAAAUUUGUAAGAACUGCGAUCAACAUGGACCAAGGAUUUGGUAAUCCAUGAAAAUCCAGUGGUUGACAUGAAUUCCAAGAAGUAGAACACUUCAUUGGUACUCGAAUGCCUAACGUUGGAUUUUGAUUUGGUGACCAUCAAUUUUGGGGCAAGCAAUUGACCUUGACUCUGAAAGCAUAUGCACUUGAGCCUAAUUACAGAAGCUAGACUAUUUUUUCUACAAACGACAAGAUCUCAUCAAACCACAAGUGGUUGAAGAAUUAGUGUCACAAAAUGAUGUACGAUAUGCAGAGUUUGAUUAAAAAGAGAAGCUUCUGAUCAUGACCUGCAGGUUCAGGAUGAGUAGCACUGAUGAGCUGCAUGGAAACACCCUUGCCCAGAAACUCAUGGAUUCGAUCAAGAAGUGACGCCUUCAUGUCGUUGAAGUCCAACACGUUCUUCUUCAUCAACACCACUGUUCCUCUGAUCUUCUUGCUCUCACUCACCUUCAGAUUUGGCUUCUCAUUGUUCUUCUUCAGACACACUGUAUCCAUCACAUCCCUUGCUACUGUGGAACUUGAGCAGAAACCCAUAAAGACCCAACAGCUCAAGAUCAAUAAUUCAAUACUCCAAAG